AUUGAACGCUGGCGGCAGGCCUAACACAUGCAAGUCGAACGGUAACAGGAAGAAGCUUGCUUCUUUGCUGACGAGUGGCGGACGGGUGAGUAAUGUCUGGGAAACUGCCUGAUGGAGGGGGAUAACUACUGGAAACGGUAGCUAAUACCGCAUAACUUCUCAAGACCAAAGAGGGGGACCUUCGGGCCUCUUGCCAUCGGAUGUGCCCAGAUGGGACUAGCUAGUAGGUGGGGUAACGGCUCACCUAUGCGACGAUCCCUAGCUCGUCUGAGAGGAUGGCGAGCCACCCUGGAACUGGGGCACGGUCCCGACUCCUACGGGAGGCCGCAGUGGGGAAUAUUGCACAAUGGGGGCAAGCCUGAUGCAGCCAUGCCGCGUGUAUUGAGGAGGCCUUCCGGUUGUAAAGUACUUUCAGCGGGGAGGAAGGGAGUAAAGUUGAUACCUUUACUGAUUGACGUGUCCCUCAGAAGAAGCACCGGCUAACUCCGUG
RNAcentral lists this ribosomal RNA (490 nucleotides) under uncultured bacterium. Its description in RNAcentral is "partial 16S ribosomal RNA". It matches the Rfam family "Bacterial small subunit ribosomal RNA", at positions 30 to 507 of the family's 1533-position model. The record is from RNAcentral.